Molecule: ribosomal RNA, 428 nt
Filed under: uncultured bacterium
Lineage: Bacteria
Description: bacterial SSU rRNA
Rfam family: Bacterial small subunit ribosomal RNA
Source: RNAcentral
GGACCCGCACAAGUAGUGGAGCAUGUGGUUUAAUUCGAAGAUACGCGCAGAACCUUACCAACACUUGACAUGUUCGUCGCGACUUUAAGAGAUUAAAGUUUUCGGUUCGGCCGGACGAAACACAGGUGCUGCAUGGCUGUCGUCAGCUCGUGUCGUGAGAUGUUGGGUUAAGUCCCGCAACGAGCGCAACCCUCACUUUUAGUUGCCAUCAUUAAGUUGGGCACUCUGAAAGAACUGCCAGUGAUAAGCUGGAGGAAGGUGGGGAUGACGUCAAGUCCUCAUGGCCCUUACGUGUUGGGCUACACACGUGCUACAAUGGUAUUUACAACAGGAAGCAAAACGGCAACGUUAAGCAAAUCCUAAAAAAUACCUCAGUUCGGAUUGCACUCUGCAACUCGAGUGCAUGAAGCUGGAAUUACUAGUAAUCG